RNAcentral lists this ribosomal RNA (253 nucleotides) under uncultured bacterium. Its description in RNAcentral is "partial 16S ribosomal RNA". It matches the Rfam family "Bacterial small subunit ribosomal RNA", at positions 524 to 776 of the family's 1533-position model. The record is from RNAcentral.
UACGGAGGGGGCAAGCGUUGUUCGGAAUCACUGGGCGUAAAGCGCGCGUAGGCGGCCUCUUAAGUCUGGUGUGAAAGCCCGGGGCUCACCCCCGGAAGGGCACUGGAUACUGGGAGGCUAGAGUACCGGAGAGGAUGGUGGAAUUCCUGGUGUAGCGGUGAAAUGCGUAGAUAUCAGGAGGAACACCGGUGGCGAAGGCGGCCCUCUGGACGGCUACUGACGCUGAGACGCGAAAGCGUGGGGAGCAAACAGG